CGAGCCCUGGGUCCACUUCUCCAAAAAUUAUGAAGUUACAUCACCGGAUUCCUUAUCUCUCCACAAGUCCGUACAUACAAAAUUUACCAAAAUCGGGGUUCAUUUGACCCCUCAAAUUAGCAAAUCUUUAUUUCAAAUCCGUAGGUCUAAAUCCUCAAUUUUUCUACAAUUUUCAUGCUCAAAUCCAUAUAUAAUUGAU
RNAcentral lists this long non-coding RNA (199 nucleotides) under Nicotiana benthamiana. RNAcentral's name for it is "long non-coding RNA (NBEN_LNC039642)". Lineage: Eukaryota; Viridiplantae; Streptophyta; Magnoliopsida; Solanales; Solanaceae. The record is from RNAcentral.